AGGACGAACGCUGGCGGCGUGCUUAACACAUGCAAGUCGAGCGGAAAGGCCCUUCGGGGUACUCGAGCGGCGAACGGGUGAGUAACACGUGAGCAACCUGCCCCUGGCUCUGGGAUAGCCUUCGGAAACGGGGAUUAAUACCGGAUAUUCACUGCUUCCUGCAUGGGGGGUGGUGGAAAGUUUUCGGCUGGGGUGGGCUCGCGGCCUAUCAGCUUGGUUGGGGGGUGACGGCCCACCAAGGCGACGACGGGUAG
This 254-nucleotide ribosomal RNA is filed under the name uncultured bacterium. RNAcentral describes it as "partial small subunit ribosomal RNA". It matches the Rfam family "Bacterial small subunit ribosomal RNA", at positions 26 to 286 of the family's 1533-position model. The record is from RNAcentral.